This 287-nucleotide long non-coding RNA is filed under the name Brassica napus (rape). RNAcentral describes it as "long non-coding RNA (BNAP_LNC000772)". The record is from RNAcentral. Lineage: Eukaryota; Viridiplantae; Streptophyta; Magnoliopsida; Brassicales; Brassicaceae.
UUCGCGGAUCGGAUGUCUUCCUUGCGUUUGUUGUCGACGAAGGACUCCGCCUUGGAUGCGCGGGGUCUCGAUGCGGCCGCCAUUUUUGAGAGGUAUAGAUCUGAUAAGAGAGUGAGAUCAGUGUUACGACGGAGGUCUUCUUCAUGCUUUUCCAGAUCCGUCUGAUAUGAGAUUGAGAUCAGAUCAGUGUUACGACGGAGAAAAAGGAAAGGCUAGAGGGAGCCAACGAGAGAGUUCUGGAAACGAAAGAGAGGAAAGGAGAUUUGAAAAUUUCAGUAGGGUUUACG